RNAcentral lists this ribosomal RNA (389 nucleotides) under uncultured Ehrlichia sp. Its description in RNAcentral is "bacterial SSU rRNA". It matches the Rfam family "Bacterial small subunit ribosomal RNA", at positions 67 to 486 of the family's 1533-position model. The record is from RNAcentral. Lineage: Bacteria; Pseudomonadati; Pseudomonadota; Alphaproteobacteria; Rickettsiales; Anaplasmataceae.
UUAUUUAUAGCUUUUGGCUAUAGGCAAUUGUUAGUGGCAGACGGGUGAGUAAUGCGUAGGAAUCUACCUAGUAGUACGGAAUAGCCAUUAGAAAUGAUGGGUAAUACUGUAUAAUCCCCGCGGGGGAAAGAUUUAUCGCUAUUAGAUGAGCCUACGUUAGAUUAGCUAGUUGGUAAGGUAAUGGCUUACCAAGGCUAUGAUCUAUAGCUGGUCUGAGAGGACGAUCAGCCACACUGGAACUGAGAUACGGUCCAGACUCCUACGGGAGGCAGCAGUGGGGAAUAUUGGACAAUGGGCGAAAGCCUGAUCCAGCUAUGCCGCGUGAGUGAAGAAGGCCUUCGGGUUGUAAAACUCUUUCAAUAGGGAAGAUAAUGACGGUACCUAUAGAA